RNAcentral lists this transfer RNA (67 nucleotides) under Fopius arisanus. Its description in RNAcentral is "tRNA-Ser". Lineage: Eukaryota; Metazoa; Arthropoda; Insecta; Hymenoptera; Braconidae. The record is from RNAcentral.
AAAGUAAGUAUGAACAUUAAAAAUUUCUAAUUUUAAAAAUUUAUGGUUAAAAUCCAUUUUUAUUUUA